UCAGACAAGACCACCCGCUGAACUUAAGCAUAUCAAUAAGCGGAGGAAAAGAAACUAACCAGGAUUCCCCUAGUAACGGCGAGUGAACCGGGAAAAGCCCAACUUGAAAAUCUGCGACCUUCGGUCGUCGAAUUGUAGUCUAUAGAAGCGACCUCUGUAUCGGACCGGGCCCAAGUUCCCUGGAAAGGGACGUCGCAGAGGGUGAGAACCCCGUCGGCUCCGGUUGCGGAUGCUCCACGAGACGCUUUCGCAGAGUCGGGUUGUUUGGGAAUGCAGCCCUAAGCAGGUGGUAAAUCCCAUCUAAGGCUAAAUACUGGCGGGAGACCGAUAGCGAACAAGUACCGUGAGGGAAAGAUGAAAAGAACUUUGAAAAGAGAGUUAA
This 382-nucleotide ribosomal RNA is filed under the name Minutocellus polymorphus. RNAcentral's name for it is "partial Eukaryotic large subunit ribosomal RNA". It matches the Rfam family "Eukaryotic large subunit ribosomal RNA", at positions 11 to 391 of the family's 3401-position model. Lineage: Eukaryota; Bacillariophyta; Thalassiosirophyceae; Cymatosirales; Cymatosiraceae. The record is from RNAcentral.